UGGGGAAUUUUGGACAAUGGGCGAAAGCCUGAUCCAGCAAUGCCGCGUGUGUGAAGAAGGCCUUCGGGUUGUAAAGCACUUUUGUCCGGAAAGAAAUCCUUGGCUCUAAUACAGUCGGGGGAUGACGGUACCGGAAGAAUAAGCACCGGCUAACUACGUGCCAGCAGCCGCGGUAAUACGUAGGGUGCAAGCGUUAAUCGGAAUUACUGGGCGUAAAGCGUGCGCAGGCGGUUUGCUAAGACCGAUGUGAAAUCCCCGGGCUCAACCUGGGAACUGCAUUGGUGACUGGCAGGCUAGAGUAUGGCAGGAGGGGGGUAGAAUUCCACGUGUAGCAGUGAAAUGCGUAGAGAUGUGGAGGAAUACCGAUGGCGAAGGCAGCCCCCUGGGCCAAUACUGACGCUCAUGCACGAAAGCGUGGGGAGCAAACAGGAUUAGAUACCCUGGUAGUCCACGCCCUAAACGAUGUCAACUAGUUGUGGGGAUUCAUUCCUUAGUAACGUAGCUAACGCGUGAAGUUG
This 518-nucleotide ribosomal RNA is filed under the name uncultured bacterium. RNAcentral's name for it is "partial 16S ribosomal RNA". It matches the Rfam family "Bacterial small subunit ribosomal RNA", at positions 355 to 867 of the family's 1533-position model. The record is from RNAcentral.